UACGUAGGUGACCAGCGUUGUCCGGAUUUACUGGGCGUAAAGAGCUUGUAGGCGGUCUGUCGCGUCUGCUGUGAAAAUCCGGGGCUCAACCCCGGACUUGCAGUGGGUACGGGCAGACUAGAGUGUGGUAGGGGAGACUGGAAUUCCUGGUGUAGCGGUGAAAUGCGCAGAUAUCAGGAGGAACACCGGUGGCGAAGGCGGGUCUCUGGGCCGAAACUGACGCUGAGGAGCGAAAGCGUGGGGAGCAAACAGG
Molecule: ribosomal RNA, 253 nt
Filed under: uncultured bacterium
Lineage: Bacteria
Description: partial 16S ribosomal RNA
Rfam family: Bacterial small subunit ribosomal RNA
Source: RNAcentral